GUCUGCGGCCACAUCACCUUGGACACACCAGAUCUCAUCUGAUCUCGGAUGCUAAGCAGAACGGAGCCCAGGUAGCACUUAGAGAAAUGGAGACAGUCAAGGAAGGCAGGCU
This 112-nucleotide ribosomal RNA is filed under the name Neotoma lepida (desert woodrat). The record is from RNAcentral. Lineage: Eukaryota; Metazoa; Chordata; Mammalia; Rodentia; Cricetidae.